AAGUCGUAACAAGGUUUCCGUAGGUGAACCUGCGGAAGGAUCAUUAUCGAGUUUUGAACGGGUUGUAGCUGGCCUUUAACGAGGUAUGUGCACACCUGGCUCAUCCACUCUCAACCUCUGUGCACUUUAUGUAAGAAACGGUGUAAGCCAGCUAUUUAAUAGUUGGUAACAAGCCUUUCUUAUGUUUACUACAAACGCUUCAGUUAUAGAAUGUUUACUGUGUAUAACACAAUUAUAUACAACUUUCAGCAACGGAUCUCUUGGCUCUC
RNAcentral lists this unclassified non-coding RNA (269 nucleotides) under Irpex laceratus. Its description in RNAcentral is "Emmia lacerata partial internal transcribed spacer region". The stretch from base 1 to 46 matches the Rfam family "Eukaryotic small subunit ribosomal RNA", at positions 1786 to 1831 of the family's 1831-position model. Lineage: Eukaryota; Fungi; Basidiomycota; Agaricomycetes; Polyporales; Irpicaceae. The record is from RNAcentral.